RNAcentral lists this long non-coding RNA (396 nucleotides) under Micromonas commoda. Its description in RNAcentral is "long non-coding RNA (MCOM_LNC000214)". Lineage: Eukaryota; Viridiplantae; Chlorophyta; Mamiellophyceae; Mamiellales; Mamiellaceae. The record is from RNAcentral.
CGGUAAGUUGUUCGACACGGUCGUUCCCACAUCAUCUUCUUUGAGCCUUAAUGACUCGUUUUUCGUCCCUCUUCCCUAUACGCAGGCGAAAUUGUGGCACGGAUUCCAACGUCACAGUGUCUCACUUGUGGAGGCUGCGCUCACCAAAAGUUAGUUGGCGACUUGGAAAUAUCUCUUGGGAAAGGAGAAUGGCUCGCCUUGCUCGGUUUCGCUUUGCUUCUGGAACGUGGGAUCGACGCAGGAAAAUCUUCAAGUUGGAACGCCUAUCUUAGGUACUUGCCAGCGGCCGAGCAAGGAGUGACGGCGUUGUGGCCAGAAAACAGGAAAAGAUAUCUCGCGGGGACAGACGUUGAUCUCGCCCUCCGAGAUGAGAGGGCACAAGCAAAAACAGAGUGG